This 433-nucleotide ribosomal RNA is filed under the name uncultured bacterium. RNAcentral describes it as "partial 16S ribosomal RNA". It matches the Rfam family "Bacterial small subunit ribosomal RNA", at positions 29 to 507 of the family's 1533-position model. The record is from RNAcentral.
AACGAACGCUGGCGGCAUGCCUAACACAUGCAAGUCGAACGAGACCUUCGGGUCUAGUGGCGCACUGGUGCGUAACGCGUGGGAACCUGCCCUUAGGUUCGGAAUAACUCCCCGAAAGGGGUGCUAAUACCGGAUAAUGUCUUCGGACCAAAGAUUUAUCGCCUUUGGAUGGGCCCGCGUUGGAUUAGCUAGUUGGUAGGGUAAAAGCCUACCAAGGCGACGAUCCAUAGCUGGUCUGAGAGGAUGAUCAGCCACACUGGGACUGAGACACGGCCCAGAAUCCUACGGGAGGCAGCAGUGGGGAAUAUUGGACAAUGGGAGAAAGCCUGAUCCAGCAAUGCCGCGUGAGUGAUGAAGGCCUUAGGGUUGUAAAGCUCUUUUACCCGGGAUGAUAAUGACAGUACCGGGAGAAUAAGCUCCGGCUAACUCCGUG